UGUUGGUACCAAUGGAAUUGUCAAGACAGUGGUAGCUGAAAGCCUGAGCCAAGUAGCUUCAUUAGUCCACAGCCUUCUUACUAUGGUCCAUGAUCCAGCUCCCAAAGGCAAAUCCAAUGGCGGUGGUGGCGGUGUGAAGCACGUGGGCAGCGGUGAUUUUCCAUCAUGGGUUGGCAAACACAGCAGGAAGCUCCUUCAGGCCUCAUCAGUGUCACCAGAUGUUACAGUAGCUGCAGAUGGAACUGGGAAUUAUACUACUGUGAUGGAUGCAGUCCAAGCAGCCCCUGAUUACAGCCAGAACCACUAUGUAAUCUACAUCAAGCAAGGCAUUUAUAGGGAGAAUGUGGAGAUCAAGAAGAAGAAAUGGAACCUGAUGAUGGUCGGAGAUGGGAUGGGCGCUACUGUCAUUACUGGAAACCGGAGCUACAUCGAUGGCUGGACUACAUAUGCAUCUGCAACCUUUGGUAUGAGUUCAUUGAGUUGUGUCUUAAUUUUUGGCAUGCCAUUUUCUUCCACCAUGACCCCAUGCUUUUGAAUAUAGAGAAAGAGAAAUUAAUGCUUUGCAUUCAAGUUUAGGAUGCAAAAGACUAGGAAAAAUCUCUGCCCAACUACCAACCAAGCUGGAGUCAACCUAAUAGUUUUAACUAAUUUGGCAUAAUGGAAUGCAGCUGUUAAGGGCAAAGGAUUUAUUGCAAGAGACAUGACAUUUGAGAACACGGCAGGACCAGAGAAGCACCAAGCGGUAGCAUUGAGGUCCGAUUCAGACCUUUCGGUCUACUACAGAUGCAGCAUGAGGGGAUACCAGGACACACUGUAUCCCCACACGAAUCGUCAAUUCUACAGAGAGUGUAGAAUCAGUGGCACCGUCGAUUUCAUAUUCGGUGAUGCCACGGUGGUCUUCCAAAACUGCCAAAUCCUGGUGAAGAAGGGCUUACCAAAUCAAAAGAACACCAUCACCGCCCAAGGCCGCAAAGACCCUGCUCAGCCCACGGGCUUCUCAAUACAAUUCUCCAACAUAUCAGCAGAUUCUGAUCUUCUGGCUUCAGUGAACUCCACACUCUCGUACCUUGGUAGGCCAUGGAAGCAAUAUUCGCGUACCAUCAUCAUGAAAUCCUACAUCAGUGAUGCCAUUAGGCCAGAAGGAU
RNAcentral lists this long non-coding RNA (1145 nucleotides) under Vitis vinifera (wine grape). Its description in RNAcentral is "long non-coding RNA (VVIN_LNC003970)". The record is from RNAcentral. Lineage: Eukaryota; Viridiplantae; Streptophyta; Magnoliopsida; Vitales; Vitaceae.